CGUAGGCGAGCGUUAUCCGGAAUUAUUGGCGUAAGCGUGCGCAGGCGGCUGAUUAAGUCAGGUGUGAAAGGCUGCGGCUCAACCGCAGAGCGGCACCUGAAACUGGUCAGCUUGAGUGCAGGAGAGGGAGCGGAAUUCCCGGUGUAGCGGUGGAAUGCGUAGAGAUCGGGAGGAACACCAGUGGCGAAGGCGGCUCUCUGGCCUGUAACUGACGCUGAGGCGCGAAAGCGUGGGAGCAAACAGGAUU
RNAcentral lists this ribosomal RNA (247 nucleotides) under uncultured bacterium. Its description in RNAcentral is "partial 16S ribosomal RNA". It matches the Rfam family "Bacterial small subunit ribosomal RNA", at positions 529 to 779 of the family's 1533-position model. The record is from RNAcentral.